CUGUGUAGCAUUGAAAUAGUCAUUAACUAAAAUUAAGAAAUAAGAUGCACAAGAAUGAGAUUUAACACUAUAAGGACCCAAAGAUCAAUAUGGAUUAAUUCAAAAAGAGCAACAGAUGAAGUUGAACCUAAAGGAAAAGACCACCUUGUUUGUUUAGCAAUACGAUAUAUCUGAUAUAAACAUUGAUUUGGAAAUGAAAUAUCAAAAAUAGUUUUGGAUAAAUAAAGUAGUUGAGAUGA
Molecule: long non-coding RNA, 239 nt
Filed under: Elaeis guineensis (African oil palm)
Lineage: Eukaryota; Viridiplantae; Streptophyta; Magnoliopsida; Arecales; Arecaceae
Description: long non-coding RNA (EGUI_LNC015798)
Source: RNAcentral